Molecule: ribosomal RNA, 294 nt
Filed under: uncultured bacterium
Lineage: Bacteria
Description: partial 16S ribosomal RNA
Rfam family: Archaeal small subunit ribosomal RNA
Source: RNAcentral
GUGCCAGCCGCGCGCGGUAAUACCGGCAGCCCGAGUGAUGGCCGAUCUUAUUGGGCCUAAAGCGUCCGUAGCUGGCCAGACAAGUCCGUUGGGAAAUCCACGCGCCCAACGAGUGGGCGUCCGACGGAAACUGCACAGCUUGGGACCGGAAGGCUCGAAGGGUACGUGCGGGGUAGGAGUGAAAUCCCAUAAUCCCGCACGGACCACCGAUGGCGAAAGCACUUCGAGAAAACGGAUCCGACAGUGAGGGACGAAAGCCAGGGUCUCCAACCGGAUUAGAAACCCCGGUAGUCC